Molecule: ribosomal RNA, 272 nt
Filed under: uncultured prokaryote
Description: partial 16S ribosomal RNA
Rfam family: Bacterial small subunit ribosomal RNA
Source: RNAcentral
UACGUAGGGUGCAAGCGUUAAUCGGAAUUACUGGGCGUAAAGCGUGCGCAGGCGGUUGUGCAAGACCGAUGUGAAAUCCCCGGGCUUAACCUGGGAAUGGCAUUGGUGACUGCACGGCUAGAGUGUGUCAGAGGGGGGUAGAAUUCCACGUGUAGCAGUGAAAUGCGUAGAGAUGUGGAGGAAUACCGAUGGCGAAGGCAGCCCCCUGGGAUAACACUGACGCUCAUGCACGAAAGCGUGGGGAGCAAACAGGAUUAGAAACCCUGUAGUCC